GGAGAGGUACUCAAGCUGGUUAAGAGGACAGUUUGCUAAACUGUUAGGCCGUAAGGCGCGUGGGUUCGAGCCCCACUCUCUCCGCCA
Molecule: transfer RNA, 87 nt
Filed under: Caudoviricetes sp.
Lineage: Duplodnaviria; Heunggongvirae; Uroviricota; Caudoviricetes
Description: tRNA-Ser
Rfam family: tRNA
About the family: Transfer RNA (tRNA) molecules are approximately 80 nucleotides in length. Their secondary structure includes four short double-helical elements and three loops (D, anti-codon, and T loops). Further hydrogen bonds mediate the characteristic L-shaped molecular structure. tRNAs have two regions of fundamental functional importance: the anti-codon, which is responsible for specific mRNA codon recognition, and the 3' end, to which the tRNAs corresponding amino acid is attached (by aminoacyl-tRNA synthetases). tRNAs cope with the degeneracy of the genetic code in two manners: having more than one tRNA (with a specific anti-codon) for a particular amino acid; and 'wobble' base-pairing, i.e. permitting non-standard base-pairing at the 3rd anti-codon position.
Source: RNAcentral